CCUACGGGAGGCAGCAGUGAGGAAUAUUGGUCAAUGGACGAGAGUCUGAACCAGCCAAGUAGCGUGAAGGAUGACUGCCCUAUGGGUUGUAAACUUCUUUUAUAAAGGAAUAAAACGAGGCACGUGUGCCUUUUUGCAUGUACUUUAUGAAUAAGGAUCGGCUAACUCCGUGCCAGCAGCCGCGGUAAUACGGAGGAUCCGAGCGUUAUCCGGAUUUAUUGGGUUUAAAGGGAGCGUAGAUGGGUUGUUAAGUCAGUUGUGAAAGUUUGCGGCUCAACCGUAAAAUUGCAAUUGAUACUGGCAGUCUUGAGUACAGUUGAGGUAGGCGGAAUUCGUGGUGUAGCGGUGGAAUGCUUAGAUAUCACGAAGAACCCCGAUUGCGAAGGCAGCUUACUAAACUGUGACUGACAUUGAUGCUCGAAAGUGUGGGUAUCAAACAGGAUUAGAUACCCCGGUAGUC
RNAcentral lists this ribosomal RNA (460 nucleotides) under uncultured bacterium. RNAcentral's name for it is "partial 16S ribosomal RNA". It matches the Rfam family "Bacterial small subunit ribosomal RNA", at positions 338 to 795 of the family's 1533-position model. The record is from RNAcentral.